CUACGGGGUGCACCAGUGGGGAAUAUUGCACAAUGGGGGAAACCCUGAUGCAGCAACGCCGCGUGGAGGAUGACGCAUUUCGGUGUGUAAACUCCUUUUAUAUAGGAAGGUAAUGACGGUACUAUAUGAAUAAGCACCGGCUAACUCCGUGCCAGCAGCCGCGGUAAUAGGAGGGUGCAAGCGUUACUCGGAAUCACUGGGCGUAAAGCGCGCGCAGGCGGCCUUUUAAGUUGGAUGUGAAAGCCUAUGGCUUAACCAUAGAACUGCAUCCAAAACUAUCAGGCUAGAGUCUGGGAGGGGAAGAUGGAAUUAGUUGUGUAGGGGUAAAAUCCGUAGAGAUAACUAGGAAUACCAAAAGCGAAGGCGAUCUUCUGGAACAGUACUGACGCUGAGGCGCGAAAGCGUGGGGAGCAAACAGGAUUAGAUACCCCUGUAGUC
RNAcentral lists this ribosomal RNA (438 nucleotides) under uncultured bacterium. RNAcentral describes it as "partial 16S ribosomal RNA". It matches the Rfam family "Bacterial small subunit ribosomal RNA", at positions 339 to 795 of the family's 1533-position model. The record is from RNAcentral.